This 489-nucleotide ribosomal RNA is filed under the name uncultured bacterium. RNAcentral describes it as "partial 16S ribosomal RNA". It matches the Rfam family "Bacterial small subunit ribosomal RNA", at positions 28 to 507 of the family's 1533-position model. The record is from RNAcentral.
GACGAACGCUGGCGGCGUGCUUAACACAUGCAAGUCGAACGGAAAGGCCUCCUUCUGGGUGUGGGUGCUCGAGGGGCGAACGGGUGAGUAACACGUGGCUGAUCUGUCCUGUACUUCGGGAUAAGCUAGAGUAGCUGGGAUUAAGGCCGGGUAGGCCCACGGCUUAGUGUCGCAUGGAGGAAAGAUUAUUGUUUUGGUGCAGGAUGAGCUCGCGGCCUAUCAGCUUGGUGGUGGGGUAAUGGCCUACCAGGGCGUCGACGGGUAGCGGGGCUGCGAGGGUGGACGGCGACAGGGGGACUGAGAUAAUGGCGAGACUCCUACGGGAGGCAGCAGUGGGGAAGAUAGCAGAAGGGGCGAUAGCAUGAUGCGGCGACGCCGCAUGGAGGAUGGCGGCCUUCGGGAUGUAAGCCCCUUUCGUUUGGGCCGCAGCCGCACUUUUUGAGGGUGUGGGGACGGUACCUUGGUAAAGAAGCACCGGCUAACUACGUG